Molecule: ribosomal RNA, 274 nt
Filed under: uncultured bacterium
Lineage: Bacteria
Description: partial 16S ribosomal RNA
Rfam family: Bacterial small subunit ribosomal RNA
Source: RNAcentral
AUACGGAGGGUGCAAGCGUUACUCGGAAUCACUGGGCGUAAAGCGCGCGCAGGCGGCUAUUUAAGUUGGAUGUGAAAGCCUAUGGCUCAACCAUAGAACUGCAUCCAAAACUAUUUAGCUAGAGUGUGGGAGAGGAAGAUGGAAUUAGUUGUGUAGGGGUAAAAUCCGUAGAGAUAACUAGGAAUACCAAAAGCGAAGGCAAUCUUCUGGGACACUACUGACGCUGAGGCGCGAAAGCGUGGGGAGCAAACAGGAUUAGAAACCCCAGUAGUCC